This 72-nucleotide transfer RNA is filed under the name Araneus ventricosus. RNAcentral's name for it is "tRNA-Pro". Lineage: Eukaryota; Metazoa; Arthropoda; Arachnida; Araneae; Araneidae. The record is from RNAcentral.
GGGUUCGGCAGGGAUUUGAACCCGGGACCUCUCGCACCCAAAGCGAGAAUCAUACCCCUAGACCACCGAACC